AGACAGGGUUUCACCAUGUUGGCCAGGCUGGUCUCGAACUCCUGAUCUUAGGUGAGCCGCCCGCCUCAGCCUCCCAAAGUGCUGGGAGUACAGGCGUGAGCCACUGUGCCCGUCCCCCAUCCUUUCUGUCUCUGAAUCUGAGGACUCUGGGGACCUCCUAGGAGUGGAUCACACAGGAUUUGUCCUUCUGUGCCUGGCGUCUGUCAUAGAGCACGACGUCUUCAAGGCGCAUCUGCACCGGGUCCUGCAUCAGAGCCUCGUUCCUGUUUGUGGCUGGGUCGUGUUCCAGUGCGUGGGUGGUCGCACCGUGUCUGUCAAUGGACGCUGGUUGUUUCCCCCGUUCGGAGUUGGGAAUCGUGCUGCUGUGAGCAAUUGUGGAUGUGUUUUUGUGUGGCCGUGUGUUCUCGAUUUGUUUGGAAGGGGAAGGGGUUACAGAUACAUGAAGGGGGGAACAGCCGGGAGUGGGGCUGGGGACUCACGGUGGGCAGAGGAGGCAGUAGCGGUGCCCAGGGGUCGAAUCCUGAAGGCCCAUGCAGGUGUCUCCAGGGAGGGGCUCGGUGUUGGAGGAGCCCCUGCCUUGGGGACCGGCAGAGCUGCCUGGGGACCCGCCCAUGUCAGAGGUGCUCCCUGAUUCCAAACUGCAUGGACGGCCCACGCCGGGCCCACUUGAGUGCCUC
This 677-nucleotide long non-coding RNA is filed under the name Homo sapiens (human). RNAcentral's name for it is "non-protein coding lnc-MKNK2-2:1". The record is from RNAcentral. Lineage: Eukaryota; Metazoa; Chordata; Mammalia; Primates; Hominidae.